This 497-nucleotide ribosomal RNA is filed under the name uncultured bacterium. RNAcentral describes it as "partial 16S ribosomal RNA". It matches the Rfam family "Bacterial small subunit ribosomal RNA", at positions 28 to 507 of the family's 1533-position model. The record is from RNAcentral.
GAUGAACGCUGGCGGCGUGCCUAAUACAUGCAAGUCGAGCGAACGGACGAGAAGCUUGCUUCUCUGAUGUUAGCGGCGGACGGGUGAGUAACACGUGGAUAACCUACCUAUAAGACUGGGAUAACUUCGGGAAACCGGAGCUAAUACCGGAUAAUAUUUUGAACCGCAUGGUUCAAAAGUGAAAGACGGUCUUGCUGUCACUUAUAGAUGGAUCCGCGCUGCAUUAGCUAGUUGGUAAGGUAACGGCUUACCGAGGCAACGAUGCAUAGCCGACCUGAGAGGGUGAUCGGCCACACUGGAACUGAGACACGGUCCAGACUCCUACGGGAGGCAGCAGUAGGGAAUCUUCCGCAAUGGGCGAAAGCCUGACGGAGCAACGCCGCGUGAGUGAUGAAGGUCUUCGGAUCGUAAAACUCUGUUAUUAGGGAAGAACAUAUGUGUAAGUAACUGUGCACACCUUGACGGUACCUAAUCAGAAAGCCACGGCUAACUACGUG